GACGAACGCUGGCGGCGUGCUUAACACAUGCAAGUCGAACGGAAAGGCCCGGCUUUUGUGGGGUGCUCGAGUGGCGAACGGGGGAGUAACACGUGAGUAACCUGCCCUUGACUGUGUGAUAACUUCAGGAAACUGGGGCGAAUAUCGCAUAGGAGCUCCUGCUGCAUGGGGGGGGUUGGAAAGUGUCGGCGGUUGUGGAUGGACUCGCAGCUUAUCCGCUUGUUGGUGGGGUAGUGACUGACCAAGGCUUUGACGGGUAGCCUGCCUGGGAGGGUGGCCGGCCACCAUGCGCCUGCGAUACGCACCAGUAUCCUACGGGACGCAGUAGUGGGGAAUCUUGCACAGUGGGCGGGCGCCUGAUGCAGCAACGCCGCGUGCGUGAUGCCGGCCUUCUGGUUGUAAACAGCUUUGGCAUGUGCCGAAGCGUGCGUGACGGUAAUGGGUCAGGAAGCCCCGGCUAACUACGUG
Molecule: ribosomal RNA, 468 nt
Filed under: uncultured bacterium
Lineage: Bacteria
Description: partial 16S ribosomal RNA
Rfam family: Bacterial small subunit ribosomal RNA
Source: RNAcentral